This is a small nucleolar RNA of Cynocephalus volans (Philippine flying lemur), 142 nucleotides long. NCBI's taxonomy places the organism in Eukaryota, Metazoa, Chordata, Mammalia, Dermoptera, Cynocephalidae. The record is from RefSeq and is a predicted model, not a curated record.
GUGCAGACUCGUUCACUAGCUCUCUGCUCUCUGCAUGAUGUGGCAGAAGUGAAGCGAACCAGGUUUGCUGAAGUAAUUGUGGGGAUAGAAAUGUAUCAGCCUCAGAAGCUACUGAGGUGGCCCAUUCUAUCCUAGGACACUG